UUCCGGUUGAUCCUGCCGGAGGCCAUUGCUAUCGGAAUCCGAUUUAGCCAUGCUAGUCGCACGGGUCAGACCCGUGGCGAACAGCUCAGUAACACGUGGCCAAACUACCCUGUGGACGGGGAUAAUCUCGGGAAACUGAGGCUAAUCCCCGAUAGGGCUUCCAUCCUGGAGUGGAGGAAGUCCGAAAGGUUGCGCUGCGGCACCACAGGAUGUGGCUGCGGCCGAUUAGGUAGACGGUGGGGUAACGGCCCACCGUGCCAGUAAUCGGUACGGGUGAUGAGAGUCAGAGCCCGGAGACGGUAUCUGAGACAAGAUACCGGGCCCUACGGGGCGCAGCAGGCGCGAAACCUUUACACUGCACGACAGUGCGAUAGGGGGAUUCCGAGUGCGAGGGCAUACAGUCCUCGCUUUUCUGGAUCGUAAGGAGAUGCAAGAAUAAGGGCUGGGCAAGACCGGUGCCAGCCGCCGCGGU
Molecule: ribosomal RNA, 472 nt
Filed under: uncultured archaeon
Lineage: Archaea
Description: bacterial SSU rRNA
Rfam family: Archaeal small subunit ribosomal RNA
Source: RNAcentral